CGAAUGCUGACAUAAGUAACGAUAAAGCGGGUGAAAAGCCCGCUCGCCGGAAGACCAAGGGUUCCUGUCCAACGUUAAUCGGGGCAGGGUGAGUCGACCCCUAAGGCGAGGCCGAAAGGCGUAGUCGAUGGGAAACAGGUUAAUAUUCCUGUACUUGGUGUUACUGCGAAGGGGGGACGGAGAAGGCUAUGUUGGCCGGGCG
This 202-nucleotide ribosomal RNA is filed under the name Escherichia coli. RNAcentral describes it as "partial 23S ribosomal RNA". It matches the Rfam family "Bacterial large subunit ribosomal RNA", at positions 1291 to 1497 of the family's 2925-position model. The record is from RNAcentral. Lineage: Bacteria; Pseudomonadati; Pseudomonadota; Gammaproteobacteria; Enterobacterales; Enterobacteriaceae.